GAUGAACGCUGGCGGCGUGCCUAAUACAUGCAAGUCGAGCGAACGGACGAGAAGCUUGCUUCUCUGAUGUUAGCGGCGGACGGGUGAGUAACACGUGGAUAACCUACCUAUAAGACUGGGAUAACUUCGGGAAACCGGAGCUAAUACCGGAUAAUAUUUUGAACCGCAUGGUUCAAAAGUAAAAGACGGUCUUGCUGUCACUUAUAGAUGGAUCCGCGCUGCAUUAGCUAGUUGGUAAGGUAACGGCUUACCAAGGCAACGAUGCAUAGCCGACCUGAGAGAGUGAUCGGCCACACUGGAACUGAGACACGGUCAAGACUCCUACGGGAGGCAGCAGUAGGGAAUCUUCCGCAAUGGGCGAAAACCUGACGGAGCAACGCCGCGUGAGUGGUGAAGGUCUUCGGAUCGUAAAACUCUGUCAUUAGGGAAGAACAUAUGUGUAAGUAGCUGUGCACAUCUUGACGGUACCUAAUCAGAAAGCCACGGCUAACUACGUG
Molecule: ribosomal RNA, 497 nt
Filed under: uncultured bacterium
Lineage: Bacteria
Description: partial 16S ribosomal RNA
Rfam family: Bacterial small subunit ribosomal RNA
Source: RNAcentral